This 433-nucleotide ribosomal RNA is filed under the name uncultured bacterium. Its description in RNAcentral is "partial 16S ribosomal RNA". It matches the Rfam family "Bacterial small subunit ribosomal RNA", at positions 29 to 507 of the family's 1533-position model. The record is from RNAcentral.
AACGAACGCUGGCGGCAUGCCUAACACAUGCAAGUCGAACGAGACCUUCGGGUCUAGUGGCGCACGGGUGCGUCACGCGUGGGAACCUGCCCUUAGGUUCGGCAUAACUCCCCGAAAGGGGUGCUAAUACCGGAUAAUGUCUUCGGACCAAAGAUUUAUCGCCUUUGGAUGGGCCCGCGUUGGAUUAGCUUGUUCGUAGGGUAAAAGCCUACCAAGGCGACGAUCCAUAGCUGGUCUGAGAGGAUGAUCAGCCACACUGGGACUGAGACACGGCCCAGACUCCUACGGGAGGCAGCAGUGGGGAAUAUUGGACAAUGGGCGAAAGCCUGAUCCAGCAAUGCCGCGUGAGUGAUGAAGGCCUUAGGGUUGUAAAGCUCUUUUACCCGGGAUGAUAAUGACAGUACCGGGAGAAUAAGCUCCGGCUAACUCCGUG